UAGCCAGCAUGUCUAGUAUAGCAAUUUAACAGUGAAACUGCGAAUGGCUCAUUAAAUCAGUUAUCGUUUAUUUGAUAGUACCUUACUACUCGGAUAACCGUGGUAAUUCUAGAGCUAAUACAUGCUUAAAAUCCCGACUGUUUGGAAGGGAUGUAUUUAUUAGAUAAAAAAUCAAUGUCUUCGGACUCUUUGAUGAUUCAUAAUAACUUUUCGAAUCGCAUGGCCUUGUGCUGGCGAUGGUUCAUUCAAAUUUCUGCCCUAUCAACUUUCGAUGGUAGGAUAGUGGCCUACCAUGGUUUCAACGGGUAACGGGGAAUAAGGGUUCGAUUCCGGAGAGGGAGCCUGAGAAACGGCUACCACAUCCAAGGAAGACAGCAGGCGCGCAAAUUACCCAAUCCCGACACGGGGAGGUAGUGACAAUAAAUAACGAUACAGGGCCCUUUCGGGUCUUGUAAUUGGAAUGAGUACAAUGUAAAUACCUUAACGAGGAACAAUU
Molecule: ribosomal RNA, 496 nt
Filed under: uncultured eukaryote
Lineage: Eukaryota
Description: SSU rRNA
Rfam family: Eukaryotic small subunit ribosomal RNA
Source: RNAcentral